UACGGAGGGGGCUAGCGUUGUUCGGAAUUACUGGGCGUAAAGCGCACGUAGGCGGCUUUGCAAGUUAGAGGUGAAAGCCCGGGGCUCAACUCCGGAAUUGCCUUUAAAACUGCAUCGCUAGAAUUGUGGAGAGGUAAGUGGAAUUCCGAGUGUAGAGGUGAAAUUCGUGGAUAUUCGGAAGAACACCAGUGGCGAAGGCGGCUCACUGGCCCGAUACUGACGCUGAGGUGCGAAAGCGUGGGGAGCAAACAGG
RNAcentral lists this ribosomal RNA (253 nucleotides) under uncultured bacterium. Its description in RNAcentral is "partial 16S ribosomal RNA". It matches the Rfam family "Bacterial small subunit ribosomal RNA", at positions 524 to 776 of the family's 1533-position model. The record is from RNAcentral.